Molecule: long non-coding RNA, 349 nt
Organism: Suricata suricatta (meerkat)
Lineage: Eukaryota; Metazoa; Chordata; Mammalia; Carnivora; Herpestidae
Exons: 3
Source: RefSeq, a predicted model, not a curated record
UAAAGGGAAAUAUUAGCUUCAUUUUAUAGAUGAUGAAAACCAAAGCCCAGAGAUUUGGACUGUUUAAAGUUGCAGCAGAUUAAAGCCCAGGUACCAAUCAGCAAGUUACCCACUUGGAUUCUUCAACUGGCAAAUGAAACACAUUUACCUGCACUAAAAAUGAAGUCAGUUGGUUUGAUCUAAGUCCCUGCGGGAAACUUGAUCCACCAAGUGAUCCAAGGAACUCAAUAUGGAUUCACUGGCUAAAGAUUUUUCCUUUAAAAACAUGUAAUGAGAAGACAGAGCUGGAUCUUCUUAGCACCCAUCCAUUUUGGAGAUUGGUGGUAGACUAUGGAUGGCAUAAAAAGAU